RNAcentral lists this transfer RNA (65 nucleotides) under Doto coronata. Its description in RNAcentral is "tRNA-Tyr". The record is from RNAcentral. Lineage: Eukaryota; Metazoa; Mollusca; Gastropoda; Nudibranchia; Dotidae.
AUUUUGGUGGCUGAAUUUUAGGUGGUAGAUUGUAAAUCUAUUUAUGGCUCUUAGAGUCCCAUAUA